AUUCAUUUAGUAUAAAUAUAGUACCUUUGACUUCCAAUCAAAAAGCUUGGAAUCCAAAAUGAAUA
This 65-nucleotide transfer RNA is filed under the name Pseudophyllus titan. RNAcentral describes it as "tRNA-Gly". It matches the Rfam family "tRNA". Rfam says of the family: Transfer RNA (tRNA) molecules are approximately 80 nucleotides in length. Lineage: Eukaryota; Metazoa; Arthropoda; Insecta; Orthoptera; Tettigoniidae. The record is from RNAcentral.